GACGAACGCUGGCGGCGUGCCUAAUACAUGCAAGUCGAGCGGACCUCUUCGGAGGUCAGCGGCGGACGGGUGAGUAACACGUGGGCAACCUGCCUGUAAGACUGGGAUAACUCCGGGAAACCGGAGCUAAUACCGGAUACUAUGUCAAACCGCAUGGUUUGACAUUCAAAGACGGUUUCGGCUGUCACUUACAGAUGGGCCCGCGGCGCAUUAGCUAGUUGGUGAGGUAAUGGCUCACCAAGGCGACGAUGUGUAGCCGACCUGAGAGGGUGAUCGGCCACACUGGGACUGAGACACGGCCCAGACUCCUACGGGAGGCAGCAGUAGGGAAUCUUCCGCAAUGGACGAAAGUCUGACGGAGCAACGCCGCGUGAGUGAUGAAGGUUUUCGGAUCGUAAAACUCUGUUGUCAGGGAAGAACAAGUGCCGGAGUAACUGCCGGCACCUUGACGGUACCUGACCAGAAAGCCACGGCUAACUACGUGCCAGCCGCCGCAGUAA
This 500-nucleotide ribosomal RNA is filed under the name uncultured bacterium. RNAcentral describes it as "partial 16S ribosomal RNA". It matches the Rfam family "Bacterial small subunit ribosomal RNA", at positions 28 to 523 of the family's 1533-position model. The record is from RNAcentral.